RNAcentral lists this ribosomal RNA (144 nucleotides) under uncultured eukaryote. RNAcentral's name for it is "partial 18S ribosomal RNA". It matches the Rfam family "Eukaryotic small subunit ribosomal RNA", at positions 1299 to 1458 of the family's 1831-position model. The record is from RNAcentral.
UGGUGGAGUGAUCUGUCUGUGUUAAUUCCGUUAACGAACGAGACCUCAGCCUACUAACUAGUUGCGGGCGGCCCUCCGGUCGCACCGCAGACUUCUUAGAGGGACUUUCGGUGUUUCAGCCGAAGGAAGUUUGAGGCAAUAACA